This 460-nucleotide ribosomal RNA is filed under the name uncultured bacterium. Its description in RNAcentral is "partial 16S ribosomal RNA". It matches the Rfam family "Bacterial small subunit ribosomal RNA", at positions 338 to 795 of the family's 1533-position model. The record is from RNAcentral.
CCUACGGGAUGCAGCAGUGAGGAAUAUUGGUCAAUGGGCGGAAGCCUGAACCAGCCAAGUAGCGUGCAGGAUGACGGCCCUACGGGUUGUAAACUGCUUUUAUACGGGAAUAACGCGCCUUACGUGUAGGGCUUUGCAUGUACCGUAUGUAUAAGGACCGGCCAAUUCCGUGCCAGCAGCCGCGGUAAUACGGAAGGGCCGGGCGUUAACCGGAUUUGGUGGGGUUAAAGGGAGCGUAGGACGCAUUUCAAGCGUGCUGUGAAAUGUCCGGGCUCAACCCGGGCCUUGCAGCGCGAACUGGCGGGCUUGAGUCCGCGGAAAGCAGGCGGAAUUCGUCGUGUAGCGGUGAAAUGCUUAGAUAUGACGAAGAACCCCGAUUGCGAAGGCAGCUUGCUGCAGCGGAACUGACGCUGAUGCUCGAAAGCGCGGGUAUCGAACAGGAUUAGAUACCCUGGUAGUC